RNAcentral lists this ribosomal RNA (561 nucleotides) under Triticum aestivum (bread wheat). RNAcentral describes it as "partial small subunit ribosomal RNA". The record is from RNAcentral. Lineage: Eukaryota; Viridiplantae; Streptophyta; Magnoliopsida; Poales; Poaceae.
AUGCCUGGGGACGCACGCAUCCCAAUGAUGGAUCUAAUGGAUACUUGCAAGCACCUUUCCAAGGCAGUUGGAAUUGUAACAAAAUCAGUUCUUGAAGAGCAGCUGACGAGUGUUGGAAGCAGCACGACCUGCACAGGUAGCUUGCACGGCUUCAACAGAUACGGUCACAAGGCCACAUUCCGGUCCCUGAAGAAGAUUCGGGCACCCUUGAUGAUGCCUACACCCUCUGUUAGUUCUCAGUUCCAUUUUAUGUUGAACUCCCAAUUUCAUGUGCCAAUUUGCAGUGCUUUGAGGAGGGUGCAAAGGUCUACUCUGAUGAAUCCUGCACCAACUGGUUCAGCCUUCAAAAUCCACUCAAAUGAUGAGAACCUGUCCGCGAGCAACGGAAACCUUGGAGGCCUUCAAGAAGAUGAAGUGUCGUGUUUGGAAGGAAACAGUCCAAUUUCUUGGACAGACAGUCCAAAACUAGAUCCCCUGUUGCAUGAUCUUCGGAACAGGAGGGCUGGACCGGAGCACCAAACAAGGCAAAUUAAUUGUAACUCGAGCCCAGUAGCAAAUUAG